AGACACUGCUCAGCUCUGCCACUAACCUGCCGUGCGAAGCUGGCCAAGUCACUGCACUCCUCUGGGCCUCAGGUUUUGCAAUCAGAGGGCUGGCCGAAGAGCUAUGGCAACAACAGCUGAAGUUCACUCUUAGUUCCAGCGACUGGCUACCCUCCUGAAUUAAGGACUGAAGGCCCCAGGCCUGCCACCCAAGGUCCAGGUGCAAGAGGGGUGAGCCACCGGUCCUUGCCUUCAUCACACCCAGGCUUCCACACGCUCCUUCAAACAGGCCUUUGCUU
Molecule: long non-coding RNA, 278 nt
Filed under: Homo sapiens (human)
Lineage: Eukaryota; Metazoa; Chordata; Mammalia; Primates; Hominidae
Description: non-protein coding lnc-TMC6-12:1
Source: RNAcentral